UUGGUCAAACUGGUUGAUUGACACUUCUAUACAACCAUCAGAGCCAGUAGAAUCAACGGAUUCGCUAUCUGUGAGGGGGCGAGCCCACCGUGACGCCUGUUUUCCCCAACGCCAUUUGACUUGCCACUUCCGCGUUGUCGAGGUAGUCGAAGUAGGACGGACCAGGCGGAUUAAUAUCUUGAAAUGACGAGCGGUCUUUGUGCUAAGCUAACGGAAUCGGAUUUAUGGAUCAAAACACAACUUUUCCUGCGAAUUCUUCGACGUUGCCUUGAUGCUUGUCUGCAUGAAUGUUUCCUUAACCCUGACCGUGACCUGACAGGCAUACAGCCAGAGGGGAUCAUACGGGUGGAUGAGAAGAUCAAUACCACUCACUGGACUAUUUCCUGGCUAGAACCGGUUACCAGGCAACUCCAGGAUUCUACUGGACAAGAAAAUUAGAUCAGGCACGCAGAGAACUGGACAGAGGAAGUGUCAUGAGAGUGACAGUGAAGCUGGCGAAUGCCGGCAACGCGAGGUCAAAAGUUGGUGAGGACAGAUCCCAGACUAUUCCUCCCUGGGACAGGAUUGUAUUGUUGGCAAGGGAUGCUUCUGUCAGUAUGUCUUUUCACUUCAUUGCCCUCCCCCUAAUUUUUUUCUACCUUUUUCACGGCUUUCAGCCUCUGUGCGAGGUCACACCAUGUACUCGGAGGCAAGGUCACACUCAGAGAAUAUGCCCACUCUGGUAGCUGAUCAGUCGUUCGGCUGAGAGGCAGCGUUCUGUUGGGACAAGCGGGCAGGAGGACCCCAUGAUUGACCCCUAGUUAAAAACACACUUGACUUUGACCAAAACACACAACCACCUCCACUAGAAUGAGAACGACAGCAGCAGCUGGAUGGCAAUCUUUCUGGUUGGGUGAUUUUUUUGUUUGUGUGCGUCACCAUUUGAUGAUUACAACUCACUCUUCGUAUAUAUAUAUUUACCUGUAUUUACUUGUUUGCAUGCGGACAGCAGCCAAGGUGUAAUGCCCCGGUAAGUCAACAUCCCCGCCUGUCAACGCUGGCACUGUUCUGCAUCCUGCCUCACACUGGGUCACACAGGCAGGUUGUUCUGUCAGUGUAACACUUUUGAGUGCAUUUCUUUUCUUCUUCUUUUUUUGUCCCGCCUUUCGUGCUGAUGGCAGAGAGCAGAGGAUUCUAGGGUGGGAUAAGAGUCAUUUCUGUCACACACAUCUUAAAGACUCAGGACUCUCUCUCUCCCUCUGCUGAUCCUCAAAGUUCACAUAUUUCAGGGCAUAAAAUAUAUUACAGUGAAAUGGGUUGACUGUAAUGGUGAAUUGGAUAUUUUUUAAUAUCCCAGUCUCAUUUUCUAACUAUAUUAAUCUGUUGAUGAAUGUUCAGAGAAAUGUACUGAUUUGACCAGUAAUCAAUUUAACGUGAGCUGAGGAAUAUAUUUAAUAAGCGUUGUAGCCUUACAUACAGCACCACUGAAAGUAAGGUUUGUGCAAAUCAUAAUUGUAUACGACUCAAAACAUAGUAUGUGAAGCCUGAAAUUGGGAUGUCAAAAGCUUGAUGUAAGAUGAAAAAACAAAAAAAAAAAAUGAAUUAACAGCCAUUAGAGGAAGAGCGGCUUGUAUCUUCAUUUUGAUUGCUAUUGACCAAUGAGAGUCAUGUACCACAUCUCCUCUCCUCAUAUUCAGAUACUGUGAGUUCAUGAAUAUUUCUGCCGUCUCUUGUCAUCAAAACUUCUGAUUUGUGGCAAAAACCUAAUAAUCCUUUUCUAGUGAGCCACUUUGUCAAUGGGUCAUUAGUAUAAAUGAAACAGGACGUAAAGGAAAGGAACAUUGGUCUUCCUUGUUAGAAGUUCAACAUUGUGUUGGGCCACUCAUCCACCCUGACCUAGUCUUUUUAAAUGCCAGAUCAUUUUCUCUUUUGCUUCAGGACAAGAGUUAUAUUAACAACAGCCACUAGAGGGCUUUGUCACUUGAAUGUAGAAACAUGUUUUUUGGACAUUUCCUGUGAUGACUAAGAGAACAGUCUCUAUUUAACUCUUCUUUGAUCCAACUCACUCUAUAAUGAAUAAUUUACACAACUUGUGGUCUCACUGGCUCUUGUGUCUUGUUGACCACUGUAACGGAGCAGAAAAGGCCUCAUCUUCAGUGUGAUGAGGUUCUGUGUUGAGCAGGGAGGCAGUUGGACGUCUUGGAAUAUGUCAUUGUCCAAGAGAGCUGUAACCUGGCAGCAAGCACCUCCAGGAUACAAGACCCUGACUCCAGGUUGGCUCCGGAGGUGUGUUUAUAUGGCUGGCAUGUUUGGUUACCAUCUGCAAGCCCCAGGGAUUCUGGCCAAGGUGGCCACUCAAGCACACACACAGAAAAACACACAGGGAGUCGCGCACAUAUGCAUGCAUUUGUACACAUUUUCCUACAAACCAUCGCUUCUGCGGCUUGUCAAAGUUUUGUUGCAAACAAACUGAAAUCAUUCUCAAUGCAAAAGAUCAAAAUCCUAUUUCAAGGAAUGCAGGCGGUGCUGAGCUGAACAAAGCCUCCAGCAAAAACUCUCUCUCAGGCAUACUCUCUCUCACUCACACACACACACACACACACACACACACACACACACACACACACACACACACACACACACACACAAUUAUCCCCUGUGAUAUUAAGGAAUGUGCCAGUAGCACUGUAGGCAGAGUGGUGUGUUUUUGGCCAUCUUAGAUCUAAGAUGUUGUUUUACUCACAUCCUCUGAUUCCUAUGAUCAGCUGGCAGAUAUACAUAAAACAUGAAAAAUAAAUGGGAUGUAAAUGUGAACAUUUGCUGUUUCUGAAGGGACAAAAGUUCAUCGCGAACAUUUUGGUGGUUUGACAGAGAUCAAUGCGAGGAUACUUCAUCGCCAAAGAAGCUUUUGCUGGAACGCCUAGAUUAGCCCCUUAAUACUGCAGGUCUAUUGAUAGAGAUUAUGAGCUUAACCCAAAAAAAAAGAAACAAGGGAUCACACAAAUUUAGUUUGUGAAGAAGAUGCCGUGAAAGGGGGACAGUCAAUCCAAGCCAUGUCCAUGCAGUUUCUCAAUGUUGAUCCACUGGUGCAGUGCUGCUGAAGAUGCUGGAAGUCAGAAUAUACAGUAAUACCACUGAAAAAGCAAACAUUCAGUGCCCCGGCUUCAUUCCUGUUUUUCUAUCAAGUGCCUGUUUGCAAAGAUGAAUGAGCAGUUAUAGAUUGUUGAAAACACGGAGGCUGAUUAGAGAGGAGGAGUUAAAUGGUAAAUGGACUAUAUAUAUAUAGAGCUUUCACGAUAUCACGAUAAUACACAUUCAGACAGUGUUGGAAGGGUCGUCAGAGGCAAUUUAGGGUUAAGUGGCUUGCCCAAGGACACAACGGCACGCUGGGACUGAACAACCAACCUUCGGGCUCGUGGAAGACCGACUCUACCUCCCGAGCCACAGCCGAGUUGAAGGCCCAAAGCUGCUUUUCCUAAUCCUGAGAUUAGUCAAAUAAUAAGAGGACUGUCUUCCUGCUCACUCGCACACUGGGACAAAACCGUGGUUUUUGGCUUGUCCUGAAAAUAGAGCUGGUAUCUCCGCUCUCUCAGAACGGUCCCUUGGCCACAGCAGUGACAGUCCUCUAACUGGGGGAGCCACAGCGAGCCAGUAAGGCUUUUUUUUCCCAGACCAGUGUUUCCAGUGGGAGCGCUGCAUAGCCCAGUGCUCGGCUUGGAGAUUAACCUACUAGCACAUUUGAAAAAGUUCCAGGCCUUUUUUCUCUCCGGCACUGAUGCAUUUGUUGUGUUGCAAACUCUUCUUUGUGAACUCAGGUUCACUUGUGUCUGGAAACAUGCACGCGGACACAGUACUACAGGAGCAUGCACAAACCUGAACGUGCACACAACUCAAGGUGUAAUUUUGAAACCUCGGGGGGAACCUUUCAGUUAUGUUAUGACAACACAAAGGGCUACAUGAAUUUGCAACAGUUUCAGUCAGUGAGGUAGCUACGACUACAAUAGGUCUGAUGGUGGAGAAAGCUCUUGUAAGAAAUAGGUGAAAAGAUUUUAUAAUACACAUCUUAUUCAUUCUAACAUGGAAGAAUGAAAGGUUUCGAUGCUCAACACCUAAAUCAAACCGAUGCAAAUACACGAGCAAAAGGGAGAAGCAGGGAAGGGAAAAUUGAAAACACAAUUAUCCGUGUCAGUUUGACCCCGAGGAUUUCAGCGUAUAAUGGAUCUAAUUCACUUGCAGAAGAGUUUAGCAGGAUGUAAAGCUCGAUUCACAGAGGACUCAGACCAUGAAAAAGCCUCUUUUCCUCCAACCUUUCACACAGACAAAAAGCUGAGGCAUCUCCACUCUUUGAUAGAAUCACGGCUUUGAAUCUGCAUGUCGGACAGAGGCACCCCGGCUAAAAACAAACACUCACCGUGAAUGAAUAUAUACGUUUGCUUUGUACUGAAUGUCCUUUCAUAGCAACGCUGUGAAAGAGGGAAGGCCAGCAUACGGUUCUGAGGACCGGCUACUUGCCCGGCAUUAGGGGGACAUUGGGGAGUGCAUCUAUUAAUGUAUUCUUUUUAAAACAGCUACUCAGUGGACCGUGAAGUGAGCCUUUUCAUAGGCGCCCAUCUCAUACUGGUGUGAAAUGAGGUGAAAAUAAGCAGUCGUAAAAGAGACAGCUUUGCGGGAAGUCCACCCCGAAUGUCUGCGGAGGUUCGCAGAGGUGACCCAAACAAAUCAGCUUCUGAAAGGAGUCAAGGGUGAAUUCAGCGCAGUGGGCAACAAACGCACACACACACGGAUGCUUCUCUCGCCGUCAGCGGAUAUGCAUGUCAGAGCUAGUGCUGUCCUUUCUCUCAUUGCAGGGCUCCCAUCACGUGCCUCCCUGCCUGUUGGGCCCGUGCGCUCGCAGGACUGUGCUAGUCCCCGCACUGCCAACUGUAACCACACUGCACUACCACCUGUCAAAUAUAGACACAGAAACAAACACACAAGGAAUAACAGCAAGCAAUGUCACACAUUGAUUCCAAACCCAAAAUACACAAUACUACUCACGACAAUUAAUAAGUUCCGAGGAACAUAAACCGAACGGCGGCUCCAUCUGCAGCAGAGAGUGGUUCCAUGCGGGGGCAUCUGUGUGCUGCAUAUUUAUCAAAGUGACAGCAGGCAUCAGGGAUACAGGGGCUCCAACAUAACCACUUACUCACUAAUGGCUUACACAGCCACGGAUCAUUAUCCCUCACAGCAUUGCGCAGCACAACACAACACAACAGUGCGCUGCAUAGCAACCCCCCCGGUCCCAGCAUUACACGGACUUGACUGCAGUGUCAAGUGUGUAGGAGGAUGAUUAGAUCUGUUUCCAGAAUGCUUCCUCAGUUUCGGUAAAAACGUCCACUCGGGUUACUUGUUAGUGUAACAGUUCGAAAUUACUAGUCCUGCUCUUACACACACACUGUGUGUAGAAUGUUUACAACAGAGGGUUUGGGUAAUAUCUUGAUAAUAACAAUGUGUAUUUUAAUGUUUCAAUGUAAUGAAUACAAUGGUCAUCUGACA
This is a long non-coding RNA of Scophthalmus maximus (turbot), 5514 nucleotides long. RefSeq lists it as uncharacterized. The record is from RefSeq and is a predicted model, not a curated record. The transcript has 4 exons. Lineage: Eukaryota; Metazoa; Chordata; Actinopteri; Pleuronectiformes; Scophthalmidae.